UCUACAGUCAUAUCACCCUGAACAUGUCAGAUGUUGUCUGAUCUCAGAAGCUAAGCAGGGUCAGGUCUGGUUAGUACUUGGAUGGAAGAAACCACUGACAAAAAAAAAAAAGUACUGAAUGAA
This 123-nucleotide ribosomal RNA is filed under the name Erinaceus europaeus (western European hedgehog). Lineage: Eukaryota; Metazoa; Chordata; Mammalia; Eulipotyphla; Erinaceidae. The record is from RNAcentral.